AGCAGCCGCGGUAAUUCCAGCUCCAAUAGCGUAUAUUAAAGUUGUUGCAGUUAAAAAGCUCGUAGUUGAAUUUCGGAAUCAGUACGCCGGUCGUGCCUCCGGUAUGAACUGGUGUCACUGGUUCCUCCCUUCUGAAGAACCGUCAUGCCAUUAACUUGGUGUGGCGGGAAAUCAGGACUGUUACUUUGAAAAAAUUAGAGUGUUUAAAGCAGGCUCACGCUUGAAUACAUUAGCAUGGAAUAAUGAAAUAGGACGUUGAUCUUAUUUUGUUGGUUUCUAGGAUUGACGUAAUGAUUAAUAGGGAUAGUUGGGGGCAUUAGUAUUCAAUUGUCAGAGGUGAAAUUCUUGGAUUUAUUGAAGACUAACUACUGCGAAAGCAUUUGCCAAGGAUGUUUUCAUUAAUCAAGAACGAAAGUUAGGGGAUCGAAGACGAUCAGAUACCGUCGUAGUCUUAACCAUAAACUAUGCCGACAAGGGAUCGGAUGAUGUUAAUUUUUUAAUGACUCA
This 507-nucleotide ribosomal RNA is filed under the name Glomus sp. Glo38. RNAcentral's name for it is "SSU rRNA". It matches the Rfam family "Eukaryotic small subunit ribosomal RNA", at positions 569 to 1078 of the family's 1831-position model. Lineage: Eukaryota; Fungi; Glomeromycota; Glomeromycetes; Glomerales; Glomeraceae. The record is from RNAcentral.